UUUUUUUUUUUUUUUUUUNUUUUUGGUCUUUUAGGGCUACACUGGUGGCAUAUGGAGGUUCCCAGGUUAGGGGUCUCAUCGGAACUGGUGUAGCCACCAGCCUACACCACAGCCAUAGCAACGCGGGAUCUAAGCUGCAUCUGCGACCGAUACCAUAUCUCGUAGCAACGCCGGAUCCUUAACCCACUGAGCGAGGCCAGGAAUCGAACCUGCGUCCUCAUGGAUACUAGUCGGGUUCAUUAACCACUGAGCCACAACGGGAAAUCCUGUACUCUAAUAUUUUUAAAGUUGAAAGUUACUUUCUGUCCCAGCUAAUCCUUAACAAGUGUUCCCAAUACUAAGUCUAGCCUAUAAGCAAAGAUGAGUAUUCAGGAGAAGGAACAGGAGCUAUUAGCAGACCUUUUCUCUGGUGUGGAGAAGGAGAUGCAGGCCUCUGAACCCAUUCCCUGCACUGAGUGCCCACCUGCCCUGCAUCCAUCCAUUCACUGGACCGCAAUUUCCUGAGCACCUGCUAGGUGUCGGCCACUGUUCUAGGCACUGGGACAACAGAAACAAUGAACGAGCAAGAUUUUGCUCUCCUAACACUCACAUCCCAGCAGGGAUGAGAUAUAAACAACAGACAGAGCUCAAUAAGAUAAUAAUAUUGUGAUACAUGUCUUGAAGACAACUAGAAUGUGACAGCGUGGCAGGGCUGGGGGGGGGAGCUCUCUGAAGAAGUGAUCAAAGAAAGGCCUCUCUGAGAAGUGUCACCUGAGUGCCUAGAAGGAGUCAGCUGCUUGAAGACCUGGGGGAAGGGAGUUUCAGGCAGAGGGAACAGCAAUGGCAAGGGCCUCGAGGCUGCACUGCACCUAGUGUCCCAAGAUCAAGCGGGAGAGUGGCGAGCUGAGAGCCAGGGAAGGAGGGUGACAGGAGGAGUCUGGAAGGGCGGGUGAGGGCCCACCACACAGGGUCCUGGCGCAGGGUAAGGGGUUGGGAGUUCAUUCCCCAAAGAAAGGGAGGUAUUCAGAAAGGUUACAAAUGGGGCCAUAAUCCAAUCUGAUUUAUUUUUAGAAGGAUCACUGGUUGGGGGGAUGACAAGAGUGUGAGUGGGGAGAUCCCUGAGGAGGUGGCUCAGCUGCCCAGGUAGGACAAGAGGUGGCUGGACCAGGGUGGGGGCGGAGUAUUUGGAGAAGAGGGCAGAGCUGGGCUGCAUCUUUAGGGCAAGCAGACUUGCCUUUAAGUUGGAUAUGGUACAUGACUGGCCAGGCUUUUUGGGGAGUUGGGGGGGUCUCAAUUGUAUUUGAAUCCCCCUGGUACCUCUGAUGCUCCUAACAGCUGACCUGGGCAGCCCAAGUGCUCCAAUCUGGCCUGAUGGCAUUAACAGCGGGCAUGCACUGCUGCCUUGACAGCUCCCUUCCUGGUCACUGAGGUUGACCAUUUUGCCCACAGGAAGCUUUUCUUGCAAUCUCUCCUUUCUGGAGGCCCCUUAGGCCAAGGGCUUCGGAGCAAGUUUGUGCUUCACAAUUCUCAGAAGCGGAGGACAAGGGAGGAGCGCAGGGGAAAAGGGAAAAAUCCCCGAAGCAAAAAUGUUUAAAAUUCAGGCAAAGUCACCAGGGGAGCCGAGUAAAGCAGCCCCCACCCCGCUCCCCACUCCCUGUAGCCUUGCCCUCCCCAGGCUCUGCAGCCAGCUCAGCUCCUUUAACGAGGCUUUCCUGGUCAGGGGAGCUUGACUGCUGCCAGGGACCCGGAAAUGCAAGAGGAGAGCUCCCUGCAGAGCCCACCCUGGCGCCCAGCUGCAGGCUGCUUGUCCAGGUGGCAGCACUGCUGCUGCCCCAGGUGGUGGCUUCUUCUCAGAAACCUCAUAAAUGUGGCAGAUGCCCACCUAGGGUGACGACAUGCGGGAGGAGGAGGAAGGGCAAGGAGAGAAAGGGCUUGGCUGCUUGAUGGCUGGCACCUGUGUGCCUUCCUGCCAGGCUCCCUGCUCCACAGAAGGGAGUCCUGACCUUGACCAUGCCAGGCAGUCCUACCUCCACACCCUUAUACACACCAGUCUCCCUGCCCAGAAACCUUCUCGGUCCAUCCAAACCCAGCCCUCCUCCUAGAUGCACCUGCAGUUCAUCUUCUUGGGAAAACUCAAGGUAGGAGUAAGGGAAUCUAGCAUUUAUCAGACACCUCCUCCUAUCAGCACCAUUUUAUUUCUUUUUUUAAAAAUAUCUGUGUCAAUUACACUUCAAUUUUUUUUGGUGUUUUUGCCUUUUCUAGAGCCGCUUCCCGCGGCAUAUGGAGAAAUAGCAACAACAACAACAAAAAAGACAAAAGACCAAAAAAAAAAAAAAAAAAAAAAAAAAAAAAGCUCUUCAAAACAGGUUAAGUCCCUCAGAGCUAAUGAGCAAACCCGAACAGCCUUCUUAACUCUGUCUCCCAAGCAGCGUGGGGGAGGCUACAGGGCCUCUCCCAGCUCUGAUCAAAUAUUGACCCUGUACAUUCACUGGCCGGAGUUCAGACUAAAGGGCCAGCAGCACUAUGGAGCCAAUGUUUGCAAAGCAAUUACUGGACCCCAGGGCCUUGUAGGUCAGAUUGUGAAACAACCUUCGAUGGAGCCGGAGCUUCAGAGAGCCUUCCGGUCCUUCCUCGGUGGGGCCGGGCCUUGCGAGAGAUACUUAACAGUGAAGGAGCUGUGCAAGGAAAUUUACAGAGGCUGGAAGUGUGGUCCAGCGCCAAAAACAGAGGGCAAGUUAAGAGCAUCAGUGGCCCUUUUCCCUCCUCCUUCUCCCCUGCACUGCACCUCCAAGUAGUCCAAGCUCUUUCUAACCAAACAGGCCUCAACAUCAAGCCUUGUCCCCACCAACUCCCUCUGGGACAGGCCCCUUUCCUGGUCAGAUAGGGCUGAGUGGUGGAUUAUUUUUAGAAGAAACCAAUUUCCAUUUGGAGACCAAGAGCCUCUCCUCUCCCUGUUCCCAACUUGACAUCUGAAACGUCCUUAAAAGCCCUCUCUGGUAACUGACCUGGUUUCCAGAAGAGGUGUUUGGAAUAGCUGUUGAAUUUGAACUGCUCUACGGAUGGGCCAAGUCGUGGUGGAACACAGGGAUCCUAGAAGAUGUUAGAAGACAAGUGGAGAGGGACUGGGAGGCGGCAGAGCACGCUGGGGUGGGCUCAAAGCCAGAUUGAGUCUAUGAUGUGUCUCAGAAGGUCCAAGGAAGCAGAGUCCAAUAGAUGAUGAUAGAAAUGUCCCACAUCUAGAGAACAAGCCAGGGAUUACCAGUGGGGGGAGGGGGGAGGCACUAUAAGGGUAGGAAAGUGGGAGACACAAACUCCUGUAAGACAGGCUCAAGGAUGCAUUAUAGAACAAUGGGGAAUAUAGCCAAUGUUUUGUAAUAACUGUAAAUGGAAAGUGACCUUUAAAAAUCAUAUGAAAAUUUUCAUAAAAAUUAAAAACAAAAGAAAUCUUCCAUUAUCUGCUUGAUACAUAGCAAUUAGCCACUGUGGCUACUGGGCACUUACAAUGUAGCAUGACCAAGAAAGUAAAUUUCACUUCGUUUCCUUUUUUUUUUUUUUAUAGCCACACCUAAGGCACAUGGAAGCUUCCAGGCUAGGGGUUGAAUCAGAACUGCAGCUCUGGCAGCUAUACCAGGCCUAUACCAGCUAUAUCAGGCCUAUACCACAGCCACAGCAACACCAGAUCUGAGCCACAUCUGUAACCUAAACCACAGCUCAUGGCAAGGCUGGAUCCUUAACCCACUGAGCAAGGCCAGGGAUUGAACCUGUAUCCUCAUGGAUACUAUGUCAGGUUCUUAACUUGCUGAGUCAUAAGAGGAAUGUAUACAUAAUGUUAAGCCAAAACCUGUCUUCCCUCACUAAGCUGUUACUCCCAUAAAAGUGGAAACCAGAUCUGCUUUUGCCCCCUAUUAAAUCUCCACCCAGAGCCUGGCAUCCUGCCAGGGACACAGAAGGCAGGUGCUUAAGACUGGAUGACUGAGGAAGGAUGGAUGGAU
RNAcentral lists this long non-coding RNA (3971 nucleotides) under Sus scrofa (pig). RNAcentral describes it as "lncRNA (ENSSSCG00040048584.1)". The record is from RNAcentral. Lineage: Eukaryota; Metazoa; Chordata; Mammalia; Artiodactyla; Suidae.